AUUUGUAGCCAAGCCUCCCUGUCAAAGCCUGAUCUCAUCAGAUCUCUGAAGCUAAGCAGCGCAGGGUCUGGUUAGUGCUUGGAUAGGAGACCACAGUGUGACUCCAGUGAGAGAAACU
Molecule: ribosomal RNA, 118 nt
Filed under: Periophthalmus magnuspinnatus
Lineage: Eukaryota; Metazoa; Chordata; Actinopteri; Gobiiformes; Gobiidae
Source: RNAcentral